AGAGUUUGAUCCUGGCUCAGGAUGAACGCUGGCGGCGUGCCUAACACAUGCAAGUCGAGCGAGACGGUUAUGAUUGAUCCUUCGGGUGAGAGAUUAACUAGAAAGCGGCGGACGGGUGAGUAACGCGUGAGUAACCUGCCCCAUACACAGGGAUAGCCAUUGGAAACGAUGAUUAAUACCUGAUAAUACUAAAGUAACACAUGUUACCUUAGUCAAAGAUUUAUCGGUAUGGGAUGGACUCGCGUCUGAUUAGCUAGUUGGUAAGGUAACGGCUUACCAAGGCGACGAUCAGUAGCCGACCUGAGAGGGUGAUCGGCCACACUGGAACUGAGACACGGUCCAGACUCCUACGGGAGGCAGCAGUGGGGAAUAUUGCACAAUGGGCGCAAGCCUGAUGCAGCAACGCCGCGUGAACGAAGAAGGCCUUCGGGUCGUAAAGUUCUUUUCUUAGGGAAGAAAAAUGACGGUACCUAAGGAAUAAGCACCGGCUAAAUACGUGCCAGCAGCCGCGGUAAU
Molecule: ribosomal RNA, 516 nt
Filed under: uncultured Bacillota bacterium
Lineage: Bacteria; Bacillati; Bacillota
Description: bacterial SSU rRNA
Rfam family: Bacterial small subunit ribosomal RNA
Source: RNAcentral